UAGAUAUAUUCUCCCCAAUUGGACUCUCCUCUUCCAAGAUGGGUAAAUUUUGCACAUGGGUUGCUUCUCUUCCUCUAUCAGACAUUUGACGCUGUUGAUGGAAAACAAGCAAGACGAACAAAUUCAUCCAGUCCGUUAGGGGAGCUUUUUGAUCAUGGUUAUUAUAUAUAUGUGUGUGUACAUUUUUCUCUGCUUUCGAUUUGUUUUGAUUUCAAUUCUACCUUGUUAGAGCAUCCUUAUCAGUUAGUUGGAGUUUAUUCUCCAGUUUUUUGUGGGCCCCA
Long non-coding RNA from Ipomoea triloba (trilobed morning glory), 281 nucleotides. RefSeq lists it as uncharacterized. The transcript is spliced from 2 exons. Lineage: Eukaryota; Viridiplantae; Streptophyta; Magnoliopsida; Solanales; Convolvulaceae. The record is from RefSeq and is a predicted model, not a curated record.